AUUGAACGCUGGCGGCAGGCCUAACACAUGCAAGUCGAACGGAGUGGCGGACGGGUGGGUGAUGGCUGGGAAAAUGCCUGGUAGAGGGGGCUAACGUCCGGAAACGGGCGCUAAUACCGCAUACUAUCAGAUGAGCCUAGGGGGGUUUAGCUAGUUGGUGGGGUAAAGGCAUACCAAGGCGACGAGCCGUAACUGGUCUGAGAGGAUGAUCAGUCACCAUGGAACUUAGACACGGUCCAGACUCCUACGGGAGGCAGCAGUGGGGAAUAUUGGACAAUGGGCGAAAGCCUGAUCCAGCCAUGCCGCGUGUGUGAAGAAGGUCUUCGGAUUGUAAAGCACUUUAAGUUGGGAGGCGUUACCAACAGAAUAAGCACCGGCUAACUUCGUGCCAGCAGCCGCGGUAAUAC
This 407-nucleotide ribosomal RNA is filed under the name uncultured bacterium. RNAcentral describes it as "partial 16S ribosomal RNA". It matches the Rfam family "Bacterial small subunit ribosomal RNA", at positions 30 to 526 of the family's 1533-position model. The record is from RNAcentral.